AAACUAUGCGUUAGGCAUUUUCUAAUUAAUUCCUUGAAACGCUCCAAUACUUCGUAUAAUGUCUCACCUUCAGAUUGCCUGAACAUGUAAUGUCAUUCCUCAACUU
Small nucleolar RNA from Gossypium raimondii (Peruvian cotton), 106 nucleotides. It matches the Rfam family "Plant small nucleolar RNA R71". From Rfam's summary of the family: R71 is a member of the C/D box family of snoRNAs containing the C (UGAUGA) and D (CUGA) box motifs. NCBI's taxonomy places the organism in Eukaryota, Viridiplantae, Streptophyta, Magnoliopsida, Malvales, Malvaceae. The record is from Rfam.